CUCAGAUUGAACGCUGGCGGCAGGCCUAACACAUGCAAGUCGAGCGGUAGCACAGAGAGCUUGCUCUCGGGUGACGAGCGGCGGACGGGUGAGUAAUGUCUGGGAAACUGCCUGAUGGAGGGGGAUAACUACUGGAAACGGUAGCUAAUACCGCAUAAUGUCGCAAGACCAAAGUGGGGGACCUUCGGGCCUCAUGCCAUCAGAUGUGCCCAGAUGGGAUUAGCUAGUAGGUGGGGUAACGGCUCACCUAGGCGACGAUCCCUAGCUGGUCUGAGAGGAUGACCAGCCACACUGGAACUGAGACACGGUCCAGACUCCUACGGGAGGCAGCAGUGGGGAAUAUUGCACAAUGGGCGCAAGCCUGAUGCAGCCAUGCCGCGUGUGUGAAGAAGGCCUUCGGGUUGUAAAGCACUUUCAGCGGGGAGGAAGGCGAUAAGGUUAAUAACCUUGUCGAUUGACGUUACCCGCAGAAGAAGCACCGGCUAACUCCGUGCCAGCAGCCGCGGUAAUACGGAGGGUGCAAGCGUUAAUCGGAAUUACUGGGCGUAAAGCGCACGCAGGCGGUCUGUCAAGUCGGAUGUGAAAUCCCCGGGCUCAACCUGGGAACUGCAUUCGAAACUGGCAGGCUAGAGUCUUGUAGAGGGGGGUAGAAUUCCAGGUGUAGCGGUGAAAUGCGUAGAGAUCUGGAGGAAUACCGGUGGCGAAGGCGGCCCCCUGGACAAAGACUGACG
Molecule: ribosomal RNA, 731 nt
Filed under: Klebsiella sp.
Lineage: Bacteria; Pseudomonadati; Pseudomonadota; Gammaproteobacteria; Enterobacterales; Enterobacteriaceae
Description: bacterial SSU rRNA
Rfam family: Bacterial small subunit ribosomal RNA
Source: RNAcentral